This 456-nucleotide long non-coding RNA is filed under the name Homo sapiens (human). Its description in RNAcentral is "non-protein coding lnc-DNAJC10-4:1". The record is from RNAcentral. Lineage: Eukaryota; Metazoa; Chordata; Mammalia; Primates; Hominidae.
CUGUUAUAAAAGUCAGUUUGGCUCUCUCUGGUGAAUCCCACCCCCACACCAUGUGAUGCUCUGUGUUACCUCAGGACUCUACAGAGACCCCACUAGCAAGAAGGCCCUCACUAGAUGAGAACCCUUGACCUUGUACUUCCCAGCAUCUAAAAUGCCAUCACAAGUUCUGCCAUCUGGGCCUUGCUUCAGACUGCAAAGACCCUUGUACCUUUUGGCUGAAGGUAAGAAUUCAGAAUGAACUGACAUUCAGCAUUAACCUGUAAAGUUGUGUACUACCUGCUCCUCAGCUUCAGCUUCAACCUUUGCAAGAUCUAACAGUUAAAUGGUUAAAUGACUACCUACUUCAAUGUGCUUUCUGGCAGCCAGAAUCUGCAUGCAAUCAAUGACCAUGUGACUAACGUAAGUUAUGGUCAUACCUAAUUAGUAUGACAUUCUGAUUAUUAACUGGAUAUUUCC